UGUACCACAUCAGUUGUAUAUGAAGGCAAAUCCUUUGCCAGAAUUCAUUGCUUCUGGGGACAAGGAAAGUCUAAAUUGAAAUUCCAAAUUCCAAUCAAGCCUUUCAGGAAAGUUUCUCUCAUCCUUCCUUAACUGAAAAACAAAUAGCUUUUAAUGGGAGAGGAGUAUACCUUCCUUUCAGGUAUAACUGGAAGUUGAGCAAGAUAUGUGCCUUCUCUGCUUCAGACAGAAUGUAGUAGCUUAGUGCUUAAGCACUUGGGGAAUGAUGAAAUCCCUGGUUGCUUCUGAUAGAUCACAUGUGCUUCAGUGCAGCAGAUAACAAAGUAAUAUAACUAGCCUCUGAACAGGAAGAACCAGUGACUCAAUGGAUCUUUAAACAGACAGACUCCACCUUGGGGCUUCUUCUGUGGAUCAGUAAUUCUCCUAUAAGUGGUGGCAUGUUAAAGGAAGUUUCUUAAUCUCCCUCUGUCUCUUUAAGAGCAAAAGAUUUUUUAAAGUAAGAGCAUAGCUGAGAAAAGAGUUAGCUAGAGCUGAAGAUUCCAUUACCUAGGAGACAAGAUAUAUAAGAAAGGGACAGUUGAUUCGAGCUCCCUCGGAGCUUGGGGAGAGCAGGGUCUCUCAGCCAAGAGUCACUUCUGACAGUUUUACGACUGAUAGUUGGGAAAGAGAAACAGAUUUAAGGAGAGAAACGGAUUUAAGGAGUUCAUAGUUGGGAGUUGUUUAUUUAUUAGCUUAGGUAGUUAGCUAGUGAAUUAAUUUCUAGAUAGGCAGUGUAAUUAGUUAGACCUGGCCUAGCCAGGCAAGAAGAACCUGUCCUUGAACACAGAGUAUGGUUUUUAGAAAUUUUAGGAGCUAUUACUCUUCUAAUUUCUUCAUUCCUUUGUACCUCAAACAUCCUGAUCCAUAUUCCUACUCAGAGAAGAAAAACUCACUGGAAUUCCAAAACCACCUAUCAAAACAACAUAAUAUGCAAAAGGAGUUUAUAAUUGAAAGUGAGAAGACAACACACAAAAGAAAACUGAAAGCGAGUUAA
Molecule: long non-coding RNA, 1033 nt
Filed under: Monodelphis domestica (gray short-tailed opossum)
Lineage: Eukaryota; Metazoa; Chordata; Mammalia; Didelphimorphia; Didelphidae
Description: lncRNA (ENSMODG00000044324.1)
Source: RNAcentral